Long non-coding RNA from Helianthus annuus (common sunflower), 1481 nucleotides. RefSeq lists it as uncharacterized. The transcript has 3 exons. The record is from RefSeq and is a predicted model, not a curated record. Lineage: Eukaryota; Viridiplantae; Streptophyta; Magnoliopsida; Asterales; Asteraceae.
AGAAACCCUAGCCGCUUUUAAGAUGUUGGCAUCUUUUCCGGCGUCGUGCCUCCGGCUAAUAUACGAGACUCUCCUCCAUCUGCGUUAGUUUAAGAUGAUAAACGGUUUAUCACUAGAAGUUUGCUGUAUCAACAUUAGGUAGAUAAGAAGUUUUUGGCUAUUGACUGUGGAUGAAGAUUAUACUGGGGAAUUACAUAUUCAAGGACACAUAGAGGGAUGGUCAUAAAUUGGUUGGAGGACACUAAAGUAAAGCCGUUCGACCAUCCAAUAAUAAGUCUAAGUUCAUGCACUAUCUACAGAGUAGUUGUGGUACUUUUUGUGGCUCGCCUACAAAUGCUUCAAGCGUUGAGGUGGAUGCAGAGUGGCUUGCAAGAGUCAGGUAAGGAACAUAUUAUCUAUGAAGAUUAUACUGGGGAUUUCCAUAUUCAAACACACAGUGGCCGAGAUGAUAGGGAAUGCUUAAUCAAUGGGCGUUAAGGGGGAUGCUUGGUAGUUCCACAAUGGGCAAAAGUUCUUGUUCCAGUAAAAAAGCUGCCGACAAAUGUUGGAUCGCGUAUUAGAAACUAUGUGUAUGAAGCGUUAAAGCAAAAUCAAAGUUAUUCCAAGAUCGGGGUCACAACAUGCGAGAUUGGCUAUAAUUUUGAUGAGUAAAGAUGACCUCUGAACCGCGUAAGGAGUUUGAGGAGCCUCAAAGUUAUUCCAAGUAGAAUGUUGGACAUGUAAUUUUGAUGUCAAACCCAACACUUGUCCAACAGUUGAUGUGGGAUUAAAAAUUCACAACAAUAUUCUCUUCGGUGGGCUCACGAUUAUGGGAACACCAAGUAGAUAGGAACUCUCUUUGAGGCUGUGAAAACACUCGGGUCAAAACUUCUAUCAUUCCGCCAUCUCAAUUCAAUUGUUGUGUCUCCGGCUAGUAUACACAUGAGUCCAUGAACACGACCCUCCUCCGUGUGCCAUUCCACAGUCGGCUAAAGUGCUAAGAUGCAUGUCAUACAUCAAACUUCAUGUAAUUAGCUAUAGCAGCAAUCAGACUCGAUUUCCCAGUCCCAGGCGGACCAUACAACAAGUACCCCCUCUUCCACACCUUCCCAACUAUUUUAUAAAACUCCUUCCUCUCCCAAAACAAUUAUCAAUUAUAACCUUCUUUAUCUUUGGGUCCAUCGCCAACAUCUCUAACGAUGGACGGUCCAGGUUUACCUAUCCCAUGUACCCGCUCAAGUGUUGCAGGCAUUGAUUUGGAUGAACAGGAAGUCUAUUGAUGAGAACCAAAAUCUCAAGGUUGAAAGCUACUCCAUGGAGCUUAAGUAUGGAGUUACGCGAUACACCACAUAGUUGUGGUCAACCCUUAUUCAUAGAAGUCUUGAUGAAUCAAAACAAUGCAUAGCUAAGAAGUUUUUGGCUAAUGAUUGUGUACCAAGAUUAUACUGGAGAUUUCCAAAUGAGUUAUGUAUGGUUUAUUUAGUUCUUGUGGUUGUUUUACC